ACUGAAAAUUAUUAAGAAAUCGAAAUUACCCAGUAGGGAAGAUGGUAAUAGAGAAGAUGACGCAAAAUAUAUAACUGAAGCUGGUAUAAAUCUUGUACAGGACAUUAGAGCAACCAAUGCAGGAAAGUAUGCACUUCAAUUAAUGGAUAUCAUCUUUACCGAUGAAGAAAUGGCAUCAUCCAUUUAUGAAGAAUCAACGAAAUCAAAAAAACCUGGGUUAGACCGUAAGAGAGUGGCAUUUUUAGAAGAUUGCAUCAAAAAGAAGUUUGGUGAAGCCACAUUUCAAGAGCAGAGCUCAGCAAUAAAGAAGAAGUGCACUCAGAAAUGUAUUGAUAAGCAACGCAGUAAAAGGUCUGAAGUCUAGUAAUGUUUAACUCAUUUCAACAUCAUUUAACUCAUUAUUUACUCAUUAAUUUUCACGUGUGAUAAUUUGGUUCAAGAAAUGUUUUUUAAGUGUUAAAAAUAUAA
This is a long non-coding RNA of Amphimedon queenslandica, 468 nucleotides long. RefSeq lists it as uncharacterized. The record is from RefSeq and is a predicted model, not a curated record. NCBI's taxonomy places the organism in Eukaryota, Metazoa, Porifera, Demospongiae, Haplosclerida, Niphatidae. The transcript has 4 exons.